UCACUCGACACAUUUCUGGGUUUCAGGUUUCAUCUGUGAGUCUGAAAUAGCUGAGACCGAGAAAGAUUUACCCCCAAACAGAAUAUGUUUACAUGGUCUCAUACACAAAGACUCUCUGUAUGCCAACAACAGUGCUGUCCAUAACCAGACCUUUACUACAACAUCAACUGAAACCAUAUGGGACUUCCUGACAAACAACGGCAGAGAAAUGCUGAGAAGACAAAACAGCUGUGGCUAAACUUUACAGUUACUAAUACAAACCAGAAGACUUUUUGAUGAAGUAAGAAAAAAACAGUUUCCACGGUGAUUAGAGGGGAGGAGAAAAGACCGUGCCAAACCCAGACAAAGGGAGGGGUGCAGCAGGGAGGUAAACACAGAACGAGAGGUCCCGACUGACAAGACUGUGAGGUUCUGGAGAAGCUCCAAAGCUCAUUCCAAAAGACUCGUUACACAGGAAAACUGAAAACUGAGCAAAAAAAACUGAGAGCAAUACACAACAUGACUGUACAGCUCUUCGAAACUUUAACAACAACUGCAUGACAGGAGAAAACUCUGCACAGACGCAAAUUGGACGCAAGUUCAUGUGAGGAGCGUUACAGAAGACCCUAUAAACUACUGGAAGACAGACAUUGUUUGUGUUAUUUGCCGUGCUGCUGAUCUACAGUCAGAAUGAGCGCUUCGGAUGAAAUGAUGAAAGUCCUUCAGCAAAUCUGGAGCAAACUGCAGGGUUUUUCUCAAGACCACCCGCUCAUGCAGGCGGCCUUUCUGAUCAUGGUGCUCUUCUUCUUAACGUUCAUAACUAUGAUGAUGAUCGGAUGUCUUUAUGGUCGCUGUGGCUGUUGUCAAGGAACCAGAAACCGAGUGUCCGUUAUCUGAUCGGCCCAUUUUCAGUCAACGAAACAUCAAGAUCAAGACAAAGAUGGGCAACAGAGCACAGCGGGCCAAAAUAAAGAACAAAUUGAUGAAAUUCAAUGUUUUUUAUUGUGUGAUAUAGCACACAUUACAGUGAUUAUAACCAGCCAAUGAAGGUUGUGUACAGGACGAAUACACGAAACAACGGUGAUGAUGGAAUUCAGAAGAGAUUUUCAAAUGUGGACACAAGCAACGACUGAGAAAUCACUUUCUUAUGGAUUGUACAAAUGUUGGCUACACUUCAAACCUUUCCCACGGUGUUGAAUAACACAGCAUGCUGCAAGUAAAUCACUAUAAGAACAGUGCUAACGUCUGCCCCCUGGUGUUUGCUUACAAUACUGCAGUCAUUUUAUAAGAAAGAUUUACAGCAAUAGGAAUCAAGGAAAGAGAUCAGUCUUAUAGGGGCGGUUUCCCGGAUAGGGCUUAUCCUAGUCCCAGACUAAAAUGCAUGUUUGAGCUGCCUUCAUUUAAAAACACCAUGACAUCUUCACAUAUAUCAAUGCCAUUGUUUUAUCUCAAGAUGCACAGCAGUGUUGUUUUUGUAAGGUUUGUUUGUAAAAAAAAUACUUAAUGUCCUAAUAUAACUAAGACCUAAUCCUGGAUUAAACCAAACCCAGUCCGGGAAACCGACCCUAUAUCUCAUUUUCCAAAUUAUAGUUGAAAUAUAGCCUUGAUACCAGUAUCAAACAGUGAAUCUAUGCAUGUAAGAGAUGGGAGAGCUGUGAUAUACACCAGGCAGUGUAGUGAAAAUUAAAUAUUAAUCAUGCAAUUUUGUUUGUUCUUAAUGCAAUGCCAUUCUCUGUUUGUCUAUAUGCAUGGUUAAGUAUAGGUUAAAAAUAAUAACUGGUUAAAUUCUACAAAAACUGAUACUGGACAGACUAUGUAUAAUAUCUAUAUUACAGUAUUUAAAAGUAAACGUAUUUGUUGCAUAUAAAGUGAUGUAAGCAAGAUUAAAGUGUAUGGGAACUCACCCUUCUUGUUCACAAAAAGCAACCAUAGCAUCAAAGUCCAGGAUGGGAGCUUUAUCCUGCUCUUUCUCGGAUCCUCGUUUUUCCUGUAAAAACAUUUUUUAAAUAUAAACUUCAUUAAAGAAUAAAAUACAUGGAUAUUUCAAACUAAAGAUGCGUUUACAACAAGACUGGAGUACCAUUGUAAUUCAAAAUAAAAUGUUUACUUUAUAAGCUUUUCCAUUCAUCUUAAAUAAAAUGUCCAAAUCAUGA
Molecule: non-coding RNA, 2132 nt
Organism: Paramisgurnus dabryanus
Lineage: Eukaryota; Metazoa; Chordata; Actinopteri; Cypriniformes; Cobitidae
Source: RefSeq, a predicted model, not a curated record